This is a long non-coding RNA of Helianthus annuus (common sunflower), 568 nucleotides long. RefSeq lists it as uncharacterized. The record is from RefSeq and is a predicted model, not a curated record. NCBI's taxonomy places the organism in Eukaryota, Viridiplantae, Streptophyta, Magnoliopsida, Asterales, Asteraceae. The transcript is spliced from 3 exons.
CGAUAACCGAACCAUUUAAAGUUCGGGUUGGUCGGGUUCGGGUUUCUCGGGUUCGGGUUUUUCGGGUAUUCGCUAAUUCGGGUUCGGGUGGCUUUGAAUUCGGGUCGGGUUUCGGGUUUUGGAUUAAAAUGAACAGCCCUAUGUGUAAGGUGUGUGUCGCGAGAAAGGAGAAACCCUUCUACUUACACAAGAUUUCAGCAAUUGAACAUGGUUUAGAACGAAAAUCGAAUGCAUGAGCCUAGUCACUCUUUAAUCUAAGUGCAUUGAACAUAAGGAUUGAAAGAAGAAAGAGCAAGUUCUGGAUUACAACAAAAGUCUCAAGAACGAGGUAAAGCUCCUACAUAAAUGGUCACGCCUUGCUCGGAACGAACACUAUCCGCAACGCCUACAAUACGCUUCCGUAUUCGCGUAUGCAAAUGGGUCAAAAUUUUUGGUUAUGAUGUAGUUUAUGUCUUUGUUUUAGAAGUCUUUUCUAGUGACUUAUGUUUAAAAUUAUGUUUUGUAAAUGUUGGGUAUUCGCAAAUAGUUUAUAUGGUCAACACUAGAAGUGUGGCCAAAGAUUUCUUAA